UUUGUAAUUAUUUUAAAUAGAAUUUUUGUUUUUGGUAUAAAAGGUUAUUUACAAGA
This 56-nucleotide transfer RNA is filed under the name Bursaphelenchus xylophilus (pine wood nematode). RNAcentral describes it as "tRNA-Gln". Lineage: Eukaryota; Metazoa; Nematoda; Chromadorea; Rhabditida; Aphelenchoididae. The record is from RNAcentral.